UUGUUUUUCUGUAUAAUUGUUUAUAUUAGGUUCACCUUCACUCUGGAUCAUAUUUGUUUCUCCCAUCAGUCGUUAUUCACCUGUUGACCCAAUCGGUUCAACCAACAAUAAUUUUUGUUAGACAUGUGGAACGUAGUCAUAAAGAGCCUACCUCCAUUUCUUGGACACUUUGCAAAUUAAUUUUACUGCUAAAAAGACCUUCUUUAAAAACCUUUUAACACAAUGACAUAUUGACUGUGAAGAAACAUAGUUCUUUAAGCUUUUUAAUUAGUGACUUCCAACUAUUAACUCCUACAUGUAAAAUAACUAGAAGAUUGACACUGACUACCGUCACUCAAAGAACAUUGUCUCCACCAAUUGUAAAUUGUGAAUUCGACUACAUCUUAGUCCACUUACUUAUAAAAAAAGGGUUUGGGUGGUGCACCGAGUACUCUGCACGUUCUCUGGAUACAUCUCAACUUCAACCUGAUAGAAGGACCAAAUUUUUUCAAGUGUCUACAAGCAUCACAUUUGCCGCAGUUUUCUGAGCGUAGACAGCCCGAGCAUUCGCCACAACGUUUUGAAGAUUUCUUCACAAUAGUAGGAUCCCAAGGAGCGUCGUAUUCGUAUCGAAUAGCCCUUUCUUUCUCUUUAUACUUCUUGUAUUUAUGAUCAUCUUGUUCAGAUCUACGGGGUUUAUAACGUGUUAUAAGUGUCGAGUCCUCUUCCCGGCAGCGCUGGAAUAGAAAUGAAAUGACAAGAUUUGUUUUUAAUUACAGAGAAGAAUAAGAUCAAGUAUAUAUUCACUUAAAAUUUCUAAUUUAAUUUUUGUUUUGUGAAAUGAUCUGUUUUUUUUGUAUUAAACUGCUCACUGCCUCAAUAUGCUGUCUAAAAAAAGAUUGAAUAUCUCAAUCUUUACACAACAUAUUCUCUGAGAAAUAUUCAUAUUAUACUUACAACACAGAAAAACUGCUUGAUAUGUUUCGCUUCUUUUUCUGUAAUAUUGAUACAAUCACCAUGGUACCAUUCCUCGCAAGCGUCACAUCCACUAUAAUUAAUUGUAUAAUCUUGGUUACAAAAUGUCUAAUAAAAAGUGACAUGAUUAAGAAUUAUUCUAUUCGUGGCAGUGACAUCUGCUAGAUAAGUUGAUCCAUUAAAAAUAGUUCGGUUUGCUGCUGUAGGGAUGAAAUAGUAAAAUGUAUCAAAAUCGUUAAGUGCAAAUCUAUCAUUUAAAGGAAAUCUACUUCUCAUAAUCCGUGAUUUAAGCAGUAACUGAUUCAGAAAUUUGAAUUCGGGUACUUUAGAUGUUAACUAUAGAUGUUUUGAAGGGACAAGAAAUAAUUGAAGACAAUUGAGGUCACUCACAGUGACUACAUUAUCGGCAACUUACAUCUCGUUAUUAAUGUACUCAAAGAAUAAGAAUUAAAACUCACAUCAUGAAACGCGAGCUAUCCGAGCUACGACAAAUGCAAUAAGCUUGACCAUCUUGCUUUAGUAACGUUGCAAUUUUACUCUUCCUUUCUGGUAACAUAAAUUGCUUUGCAAUCUCUUCUUUCUGUAUAAAACAAAACAUUUGUACAGAUAUAUAUAUAUAUAUAUAUGAGUACAGUAAUUCAUGAUGGUCAAUGUCAGUGGUGUGUCCAUUUUUUAAAUGAUUACAGAGAAUACUAAAGCACAUAAAACCGUUUCAGGAUUGUUGGCUUCGUAAUUCAAAAUUGUAAUUUCUGUCUGAAGCGAACAAUCAGAAACAAAAGAUGAGCGUGAAACAUCCAUCAUUCUUUUUCAAGUAUUUUCAAGUAUCUGUCUAAUAGUAUAAUGUGCACUUACAUGAUGCUUACGUUGAAAGAUAAUUAAAUCAUAAAGUAACUAUUUAAAUUAUUUACACAAAAUACCUAAUAUAAUGACAGCCUUGAUAGUUCCACUGUGGAUACUACAUUCAAUAUCGGAGUUCAAAUUCAAUCAAUCUCAACUGGAUCAUUGAAAUGUUAUCACACAUAAUUUAGUAUCUCAGUAUUUGUUUUCUGAGCAUCUUGACAAUACACCGCUAACAAAAUAUUCGAAACAAUGUAAUAAACGAAUAUUCUUUGGAUUUUAAGUAAUGAAAUAAAGUUACAUAUGACAGUUGAAGACGCGUGGUUAUGUGAAAAAGGUAAAUGGUAAAAAAAUGUUAUCGCAUAUAUUUAGUGUGAUGUAUCGUCAGAGAGUUCUGAUAGUCCAAAACUCAAAGGUAAUAAUGCAGUACACGAACUGCAACUUUAUAUCGAAUAGUUAAAACACAGUACUAAAUUUCAGUGACAAAUAAAUAGUACGAGCUGGAAGCAGCGGAUAGUCUACUUACCGAAAGACCGUGUCUCUUAUCGCCCAUGAUUAGGCGUGUAUUCUGAUAACGAUUAUAGUCCAAUUACACUACAAUCCAAAGAUUCAACCUGCGUCUCUAAAGAGUCAGUUAUGAAAAGUAGAGACACAAUUAUUAUUCCAUCGUUUUCUCAGAGAUCGCCACUUUAUACAGCCGCAGCUGCCAUCUUGAAUUACCUCUACCAUACCCACAAUGCAGUGCGCGUACCAUGUACGCGCCCUUGCUUUUAAACGUAGUUUCGAAAGUGAACUCUGUUGUAACAGAGAAGAGUCCAACAAAUGAAUCGGUUGAUAAUUAAUAAGUAUAAGAUAAGCUCAGCGUUAUUACUAGGUUUUACCCUCAAGGGUUCACUUUUUUCUGAUUUAGAGUUCCGGUACUAAACCUAGAAUUAAAUGUGUAGGUCGAUAAUGUUGUAGCAUAGUCGGGUAAUUUGAAAUAAUCGUUGAAAGCAUAGAAACUGUAUAGUGUAAAUUAUUGAUUUACCCCAGAUCUUUUUGUACCUUUAUGCCAUGCAUGUAUUCAAUUUUUUCAAUAGGAGCUAGCUCCGGGUUUCAAUAGCGAAAUUCAAAAAAAGUCGCGUAUUUGAAUGUACCGCAAUUUUACUACAAUAACUUAAUCAUUUUAAUCAAGAAUCAUCGAAUUCCACAUUACUUACCACUUUUUUUUCUUUUAACCACAAUAAUGUGUACAAUUUAACUUGAAUUUGUGUAUGUAUGUGCAGAUAUUGCACAAAAGAUAUAUUAGUUUCAUUAUCGAAAUCAUGUAUAUGCUGCAAGUAAUUUUUUCAAUUGUUUCCUUUAUUGUCUCUAUUUUACAAAAACAAAGAAGCAAUACUAAAAUAUUGCUUGGCUGGGAAUAACAAGUUUUUUUGGUGGAAAUAUGCUAACUGCGUUUAUACUAUGUAUAUGUGUGUGUGGGUGUGGGGAUUAAAAAUAGUGUUAUCCUUCUGCAGUUAAUUUUUUGAAAAAAUAACCGUCUGCCAAUGCAUCACUUCAUCGGUGGUUUCAGUUAAAAUAUUCAGCGAAAACCCGAAAUCUGUACGCUUAUAUAUCAUUAUUCAUAAGUUAACAGCACAUCACAAAAUAAAAAGCUUUUUAUCGACGCAUAAAAAAUAAUGAAUAGCAAAUUAAUAACUUGAGCAAAUUAAGCCUUCUACAAGCUACUUAGUGGCAUCUGUUAAUAUUAUACGAUAUUAUACCGUGCCACCUAUCACCAUUUUGAUAAUAAAUUAUUAUUUUCGUAUUCUAAAAUUGAAAAGAUUUAGAUUGUGAACAGCAAUAUUAUUAGAGUUAAAUAUAUUUUUUGCGCAUCCAGGCUUAAUAUCACAUAGCUUUUAACAAAAGUUCUGAAUCCAGAUGAAAGGAUGAAUUAAAUUUGCAAAUGAAGACUGUUCUUUGAGCAGUGAACCGGUGAUCUACGUUUUCUUCUCGGUUGUCCUUCUUUUGUCUUGUUUUCAUACAUAUUAUAUUCUUUGGUAUUCGAUAAUUUCCUUUCCGUUGCACAUCGAUAUACUUUCCAGCAGAUAUAAACUAGAACAGUAUAAACGCAGUUCUUAUCGCAAUACAUUAUAUUUAUUCCAAAUCAUCACAAUUUUUACCUUUUUGCUACUUUAUCAUUACCACACAAUGAUGUUGAUCUCAAAUGUCAUAACAACUUAAAGUGAAUUAAAAAUGACAAAGAUUAUUUAAGAAAUAUCAUUUACUGAAUAUGUAAAGAAAUAAAAUUAUGCAUACAAAAGAAAAAGAAAAGGAAUGUAGAUUAUUUCGUAACAUCUCAAGUCAUGAACGAUGUUACAGGUUGGAGUUACGAAUAUUAAAAAUACUUGGGUGCUAUUAUUUGAGACAAUGCUAAAAAAAAACAAGAAAAAAAAGUUUCCCCCCUAGGUUCCAUUACUGUCAACAUCGAAAACAUACCUUCAGUUUUAUUUUCAUGUAUAUAACGAUUUACGAAUUAUGCAUUACAUUAACAUAUUUCCACUUGUGAUAUGCUGUUUUAGUAUUAUGACAAUUAUACUAUAGUUUUAGGUGCAAGUAGAUUAAAACAAAACGCGUGCCAAAAGAGAGAAAAAAAAAAUAAAGAACAACAAUAUAUCACAGUAUCCCAUAUUACCUUAAAUAAAACUUGUAUGUAUUGCGAUAGAAUAGCAUAAAGGUAAAACGGCGACUUAGUUCAGUUUUGUCUUCUUUUCAUAGUGUGUUCGCAUACAGGAGGACAUAUUUUCUUGCAGUAUUACAUUUUUCAUUUCUUGGUCAUAAUUUAUUAUUAUUAUUUUCCAGUUUCUUGUAUUCAUAUAAGCUUAUUUUGAAUCUGAGGUUACGAUAUAUUAAUAACAAAGUAAUGACGGUGAAGGCAUCAUAUAUUUUGUACACAUAUCAGCCAUUUGGUUGUCAAUUUUACAAAUUCUUAAUAAAUAUCUGUACGUGAAACGUUUUAAUUCAUACACGUUACCAAAGAGAGGCUUUCACUUUUUUGCGCAGUGAUUAAUCAGUUAAGCAACAGUCAUGGUUCACUAUCGAUUAACAUAAUGGUUUUAGUUUCGAGGAAAAAUUUAAUCAUAAAUAAUACAAGGAAUUGAUGCUGCUGGUUGAGAAAAUAUGGAUAAGUGCAAGGACGGCGAAAGCUUAAGUGAACAGGUAUGCGGGACAUACGUAAGAUAGAAUAUACAUGUAUAUAUACAUAUGCUGUAUCAACUCGACCAGGUUCUGACCUCAUAUUUUUGUGUUAUUCCGAAAUUUUUCUGGGUGUAGUAGGACAUGAGUAACAUGUGAAUUAAUUUUUUUUACAUUUUUCUGAGAAUGUAGAAAGUCGGGAAUAUCUGACAAAAAUACCAAAAAUGCUGCCCUUUUCACGAUUUUCGACAGUCAUUGUAUAUGCAGGAACGUGGCUCGUAGGGAAUUUUACAGAAAAUUGUUAAAAACUAAAAUUAGAUUUUAUAAAGGUCUUACAACCCCCACGAAAAAUUUCGAACUAAACAAAGAGAAUGGGAAGGUUUGAACGUGAUAAAAUUCUUUAAGACAGGUAGAUAAAUAACAAAAAAGAAAUUUUCCAAUUUAUUUAGCAGAAGCAUCCGCAAACUAUCAUUUGAAUAAUCACGUUUCGUCUUAAACAGUGUACUUCAAACCAAUUCUGCAUUCCCUCUAUCCACGUAGAGAUGUUUUUUUUUUUCAUUUAAUUCAUUUUCCUUUGGGGUUUAUUGAUGUCACCAAUAUUGUAAAAGGAAACAACUAGAUGGUGUGUAAAUAAUCGUAUUAGAAAACAUUGCCGUACGGGCCAAUGUUUGUUGCAAAUAGGUGAAAAACUUUACAACUAUUAAUUGAACAAAAAUUAACAUCUUGGACUAUAUAUUUAUGAACGAAACUUCAACCUUCAAGAUGAUGCUUUAGUGCGUGCCAUGUGAUUAGCGAUAAAUAUUUUAUGCAGGUUCGAUGACAUGGUUCAAUUUGUCCUAUUUUUUGUUGUCAGAUUUAAUGAUCAUCCUCGCUUGCCUUGUAUUGACAAAAUCUUUUAUACGAACCAAUAUCGCAUAGAGAAUGAUUUAUAUCACGUGGCGUAAGCUUUGGCAGCUUCGGUUCCUUAUUAAGUAGCCAACAUUAUAAAUAAAAUUUGUAUCAUAAGAUUGAGACUAUCCUCUGUUUGGUACUGAUAUAUUUAAAGGGGUUGACAAGCAAUCUUAACAAUUAGUCAAUUUAGUGUUUGGGUAGCAUGGAGCCUGCUCUUCCGCUAAUCAACUGAAUGCCCGCUCCGAAACUCUCGAGGCACAUAAGCUAACAUUUCGUUUAGUUUAAUAUGUGUGAAAUAAAUUGUUGACCCAUGUAGAUAUUGUACCAAGAAAACAGAAUGUUCUCUUUUCAGAACAUUGAGAAAAAAAAAAUUGACUUGAAAUGGCUGUUAGGUUUACUUGAUAUUUUUAGUAAACAUAAAUAUAUUAAAGUAGAAAAGUAAUACGUGACAGUUUUCCUAUUAUUAUGUUAAAUGUGGAGUACAGUUAAUGUAGUACCAUUGAUUAUAUAAAUUGAUAAUAUAUGAAGAAUCCUUCGGAGUAUGUUAAUUUUAAAAUAAGCUGCGAUAUAAAUUUUCAUCCGCGUCUAUGUCACGUAUUACUUUUCAUCAUACAUACGUACAUAGAUAUAUACAUAUAAGGGUGUGUCAUUUUAGGGCGAUAUAUUUUUUUUUUUUUGGCUUAUCACCCGAAAAGUCUUUAGUUCGCAUC
This 6545-nucleotide long non-coding RNA is filed under the name Neodiprion pinetum (white pine sawfly). RNAcentral's name for it is "uncharacterized LOC124215180". Lineage: Eukaryota; Metazoa; Arthropoda; Insecta; Hymenoptera; Diprionidae. The record is from RNAcentral.